AGUGGGAUAGCUGGGUCAAAUGAUGGUUCUAUUCAAAAUUUUCUAAGGAAUCUCCACAGUGCUUUCCAGAUUGAUUGUACCAAUUUGCAGACCCACCAGCAAU
RNAcentral lists this microRNA precursor (103 nucleotides) under Marmota monax (woodchuck). The record is from RNAcentral. Lineage: Eukaryota; Metazoa; Chordata; Mammalia; Rodentia; Sciuridae.